RNAcentral lists this unclassified non-coding RNA (328 nucleotides) under soil metagenome. RNAcentral describes it as "partial contains 5.8S ribosomal RNA, internal transcribed spacer 2, and large subunit ribosomal RNA". The stretch from base 5 to 119 matches the Rfam family "5.8S ribosomal RNA", at positions 40 to 154 of the family's 154-position model. The record is from RNAcentral.
GAUGAGAACGUAGCGAAAUGCGAUAAGUAAUGUGAAUUGCAGAAUUCAGUGAAUCAUCGAAUCUUUGAACGCACAUUGCGCCCCCUGGUAUUCCGGGGGGCAUGCCUGUCCGAGCGUCAUUACAACCCUCAAGCUCAGCUUGGUGUUGGGCCCCGCCGCCCCGGCGGGCCCUAAAGUCAGUGGCGGUGCCGUCCGGCUCCGAGCGUAGUAAUUCUUCUCGCUCUGGAGGUCCGGUCGUGUGCUCGCCAGCAACCCCCAAUUUUUUUCAGGUUGACCUCGGAUCAGGUAGGGAUACCCGCUGAACUUAAGCAUAUCAAUAAGCGGAGGA